GCGUGGGUAGUUUAGUGGCAGAAUACGAGCCUUCCAAGCUUGUGACCCGGGUUCGAGUCCCGGCCCGCGCA
This 71-nucleotide transfer RNA is filed under the name Candidatus Pacearchaeota archaeon. Its description in RNAcentral is "tRNA-Gly". It matches the Rfam family "tRNA". Rfam says of the family: Transfer RNA (tRNA) molecules are approximately 80 nucleotides in length. Their secondary structure includes four short double-helical elements and three loops (D, anti-codon, and T loops). The record is from RNAcentral. Lineage: Archaea; Nanobdellati.